Molecule: ribosomal RNA, 449 nt
Filed under: uncultured bacterium
Lineage: Bacteria
Description: partial 16S ribosomal RNA
Rfam family: Bacterial small subunit ribosomal RNA
Source: RNAcentral
CCUACGGGUGGCAGCAGUGGGGAAUUUUGGACAAUGGGGGCAACCCUGAUCCAGCCAUGCCGCGUGCGGGAAGAAGGCCUUCGGGUUGUAAACCGCUUUCGGCCGGAACGAAAUCGCCGGGGAGAACAUCCCCGGUGGAUGACGGUACCGGAAGAAGAAGCACCGGCUAACUACGUGCCAGCAGCCGCGGUAAUACGUAGGGUGCGAGCGUUAAUCGGGAUUGCGCGGGGGAAACGGUGAGCAAGCGGUUAAAUCCCCGGGCUUAACCUGGGAACUGCGUGUGUGACUGGCGGGCUGGAGUGCGGAAGAGGGAGGUGGAAUUCCACGUGUAGCAGUGAAAUGCGUAGAGAUGUGGAGGAACACCGAUGGCGAAGGCAGCCUCCUGGUCUAGCACUGACGCUCAUGCACGAAAGCGUGGGGAGCAAACAGGAUUAGAUACCCCAGUAGUC